RNAcentral lists this transfer RNA (85 nucleotides) under Actinomadura coerulea. Its description in RNAcentral is "tRNA-Ala". Lineage: Bacteria; Bacillati; Actinomycetota; Actinomycetes; Streptosporangiales; Thermomonosporaceae. The record is from RNAcentral.
GUCGGCCUGCGGCGGUUCGCGGCGUGUCGGCUGGCGUCCGCUGCGAGCAUGGGGGAUCCGGGGGAGCGCCGCCUCCGCCCGGCAC